GCCCGGCUAGCUCAAUCGGUAGAGCGUGAGACUCUUAUUCAAGAGAUCACCAAUCUCAAGGUUGUGGGUUCGACCCCCACGUCGGGCU
Molecule: non-coding RNA, 88 nt
Organism: Rhypophila decipiens
Lineage: Eukaryota; Fungi; Ascomycota; Sordariomycetes; Sordariales; Naviculisporaceae
Source: the annotation of a GenBank genome assembly